Molecule: microRNA precursor, 82 nt
Filed under: Homo sapiens (human)
Lineage: Eukaryota; Metazoa; Chordata; Mammalia; Primates; Hominidae
Description: mir-1233 microRNA precursor family
Rfam family: mir-1233 microRNA precursor family
Source: Rfam by way of RNAcentral
GUGAGCGGGAGGCCAGGGCACGGCAGGGGGAGCUGCAGGGCUGUCGGAGGGACCCCAGCGUCUGAGCCGUGUCCUCUCACAG